CCUAGUGGCGGACGGGUGAGUAACGCGUGAGUAACCUGCCUUUAACAGGGGGAUAACACUGAGAAAUUGGUACUAAUACCCCAUAAUAUCAUAGAAGGCAUCUUUUAUGGUUGAAAAUUCCGAUGGUUAGAGAUGGGCAUGCGUUGUAUUAGCUAGUUGGUGGGGUAACGGCUCACCAAGGCGACGAUACAUAGGGGGACUGAGAGGUUAACCCCCCACACUGGUACUGAGACACGGACCAG
Molecule: ribosomal RNA, 242 nt
Filed under: uncultured bacterium
Lineage: Bacteria
Description: partial 16S ribosomal RNA
Rfam family: Bacterial small subunit ribosomal RNA
Source: RNAcentral